UACGUAGGAUCCGAGCGUUGUCCGGAAUUACUGGGUGUAAAGGGUCUGCAGGCGGGAAGAUAAGUCGGUGGUGAAAUCCCAUAGCUCAACUAUGGAACCGCCUCCGAUACUAUCUUUCUUGAGUUCGAGAGAGGAUAAUGGAAUUCAUGGUGUAGCGGUGAAAUGCGUAGAUAUCAUGAAGAACACCAGUUGCGAAGGCGAUCAUCUGGCUCGAUACUGACGCUCAGGGACGAAAGCAUGGGGAUCAAACAGGAUUAGAUACCCGAGUAGU
This 271-nucleotide ribosomal RNA is filed under the name uncultured bacterium. RNAcentral describes it as "partial 16S ribosomal RNA". It matches the Rfam family "Bacterial small subunit ribosomal RNA", at positions 524 to 794 of the family's 1533-position model. The record is from RNAcentral.